UGGGGAAUAUUGCACAAUGGGCGAAAGCCUGAUGCAGCGACGCCGCGUGCGGGAUGAAGGCCUUCGGGUUGUAAACCGCUUUUGAUUGGGAGCAAGCGAGAGUGAGUGUACCUUUCGAAUAAGCACCGGCUAACUACGUGCCAGCAGCCGCGGUAAUACGUAGGGUGCAAGCGUUAUCCGGAAUUAUUGGGCGUAAAGAGCUCGUAGGCGGUUUGUCGCGUCUGGUGUGAAAGUCCAUCGCUUAACGGUGGAUCUGCGCCGGGUACGGGCAGGCUAGAGUGCGACAGGGGAGACUGGAAUUCCCGGUGUAACGGUGGAAUGUGUAGAUAUCGGGAAGAACACCAAUGGCGAAGGCAGGUCUCUGGGUCGUCACUGACGCUGAGGAGCGAAAGCGUGGGGAGCGAACAGGAUUAGAUACCCUGGUAGUCCACGCCGUAAACGGUGGAUGCUGGAUGUGGGGCCCCAUUCCACGGGUUCCGUGUCGGAGCUAACGCGUUAAGCAUCCCGCCUGGGGAGUACGGCCGCAAGGCUAAAACUCUAAAGUGAAUUGAC
RNAcentral lists this ribosomal RNA (552 nucleotides) under uncultured bacterium. Its description in RNAcentral is "partial 16S ribosomal RNA". It matches the Rfam family "Bacterial small subunit ribosomal RNA", at positions 355 to 914 of the family's 1533-position model. The record is from RNAcentral.